CCCUUAGAUGUUCUGGGCCGCACGCGCGCUACACUGACAGAGCCAGCGAGUCCUCCCUUGGCCGGAAGGCCCGGGUAAUCUUGGUAAACUCUGUCGUGCUGGGGAUAGGGCAUUGCAAUUAUUGCCCUUCAACGAGGAAUCCCUAGUAAGCGCAAGUCAUCAGCUUGCGUUGAUUACGUCCCUGCCCUUUGUACACACCGCCCGUCGCUACUACCGAUUGAACGGCUCAGUGAGGCUUUCGGACUGGCCCCAGGAGGUCGGCAACGACCACCCAGGGCCGGAAAGUUAUCCAAACUCGGUCGUUUAGAGGAAGUAAAAGUCGUAACA
This 327-nucleotide ribosomal RNA is filed under the name uncultured eukaryote. RNAcentral's name for it is "partial 18S ribosomal RNA". It matches the Rfam family "Eukaryotic small subunit ribosomal RNA", at positions 1470 to 1796 of the family's 1831-position model. The record is from RNAcentral.